This 144-nucleotide transfer RNA is filed under the name Imshaugia aleurites. It matches the Rfam family "tRNA". Rfam says of the family: Transfer RNA (tRNA) molecules are approximately 80 nucleotides in length. The record is from Rfam by way of RNAcentral. Lineage: Eukaryota; Fungi; Ascomycota; Lecanoromycetes; Lecanorales; Parmeliaceae.
GCCCGUUUGGCAUAGUGGGUAAGAUGAAAUUCAUUUGUGACUCUUUUAAGUCAGAAAGUUGAUGAUGGUGGCAGUACUGCGUUUCACUCGUAGGCAAAAUCCUUGAAAAUGAAAAGAUCCUCGGUUCGAUUCCGAGAAUGGGCA